AAACAAUGUAAUUACAAUUUUGUAGAACACAAAAACCAUGUGAAAAUACACAAACAAGCAUUACAUUGAGUAUAUUUAAAAGUACAGGGUGUCGAAAUAAACUUUAUUAAUACUGUCACGUACCGAAGAUGCAUCUAAUGAUUCUAAAAUUUCCUCACUAGUUUCGGGUUUAGUUUGGGUUUCUUGAUCUCGAUUACUGAUUAUUAAUACAAAAUCAUUUGUUGAGAAAACAACGCGUAUUUUUACCGGAUUUUGAACUCUGGCGACGUCUUCUCGUUGACCACAAUCGCCGCCUCUCUGCUUCUCGGUUACAGUUGUCUGAUUCUUUUCAAUUAGAUUAACUUCUGCUACUAAUAUUAAAUCGCUUGCGAACUGAAUCAACUUUCUAUAAUAAGUCUAAUAAAUUACUAUUCUUGUCGACACAAUUACGGCACACAUUGUUAGACAAACAACUGUCCAGAUUCAAUAAGUUUUUACAUGCACUCGUUUUUGUUGAUACAUUGAACAGCUUUCGGCGCUUACUUGGGUCAGUUAUUUCGUCAGUUAUUUCGUUUCCACACUCGGUGCAAACUGUUUCAUUCGAGGACAAAGAAAUAUCAAUUCUUGAGAAUGUUUUUGUGUUUUUGUAGACCAAUUGUCGGCGCGGUGAAGUAAUUGUAUGAAAUGUACACACCCAUUUUAUGUCAAAAUUAUU
Molecule: long non-coding RNA, 694 nt
Filed under: Paramuricea clavata
Lineage: Eukaryota; Metazoa; Cnidaria; Anthozoa; Malacalcyonacea; Plexauridae
Source: RNAcentral